GUUUGGCCAAGCGCCCGCCGGACAUGGUACGCCGAAGGGUCAUCGGCGUGGAGUCCUCGCUUUCAGCGUCCGCGGCUGGGAAAUCGGCCAUCGCUACGGCGGGAACUGGGACUCGGGCUGCGUCCCGGCCCUUCCACAUCGGUCCACCGCACUCGUGGGCGCCCGCAUUGGUGCUGACAUAAUUUCCUGACCUCUGACCCGUAUUGUCUCGCGAUUAAAGGUCCAGAUUUGGAACAAAUCUCUCUAGAGAUUGAACAGAGCUGCGCCUGGAUCCCUCAGCAGUGAGGAGACCUGAAGACCAGAGGAAACACAGCAAUAGAGAUGAAGUUUCACCAUGUUGGCCAGGCUGGUCACAAACCAGCCAGCCUCAGCUGAUCUGCCAGCCUCAGCCCCCCAAAAUGCUGGAAUUACAGGUGUGUACCACCAUUCCCAGCAUUUAGUUAACGUUUUUUGUAGGUGCUUUGAGCUAUAAAUCAAUGUAAAUUUUUAAACAUAUAUAUAACAAGUUCUUCUAGCAUUGUUUGUUAAAAAGAUUACCUCUUCUUUAAUAAAUUUCCUUUGCACCACUGUCACAAAUCAGUUGUCCAUGUAUGUGUGUUUCUCAACUCUCUAUUUUAUUCCAUGAAUACCACACAGUCUUGAUUACUGUAGCUUUAUAAUAAGUCUUAAAUUCAGGUAACAUAUGUUCUCCAACUUUUUCUUUUUUUUUUUUUGAGUCGGAGUCUCCCUCUGUCAUCCAGACUAGAGUGCAAUGGCGUGAUCUCGGCUCACUUCAACCUCCGACUCCCAGGUUCAAGCAAUUCUCCCUGCCUCAGCUUCCCAAGUAGCUGGAAUUUCAGGUGCCUGCCAGCAGACCUGGCUAUUUUUGUAUUUUUUAGUAGAGAUGGGUUUUGCCAUGUUGGCUGGUCUUGAACUCCUGACCUCAGGUGAUCUGUCCACCGCAGCCUACCAAAGUGCUGGGAUUACAGGCAUGAGCCAUCGCGCCCAGCCUAUUUUCCAACUUUCAGAAUUAUUUUUAAAAGUUGUUUUCACUAAUCUAGGUCCUUUGCAUGUCCAUAUGUAUUUUAGAAUUGAGUUCCCAAUUUCUACAAAACAAAAAGCCUCCUGAAUAUUCAAAAUGGGAUUUCACUGAAUCUAUAGGUCAGGUUGGAAAGAAUUGACAUAUUAAUGGUAUUGAGUCUUGUAGUCUCUGAACAUAGUAUAUCUCUAUUUAGGUCUUUUUUAAAGUUCUCCCAGAAGUGUUUUUAAUUUUUAUACUAUACAUCUUGCACUUCUUUUGCCAGAUGCAUCACUAUGUAUUUCAUAUUGUUUAUGGUGUUAUAAAUGGCAUUUAAGGUUUUAAGGUUCAGAUUGUUCAUGGCUAGUUCAUGCAAAAUCAUCUGCUUUAUAUAUAUUGAUCUUUAUUUUGCAGUCUCACUAAGCUCAUUUAGUUCUAAUAGUGUUGUAGAUACCUUCAGAUUUUUUUUAUAUAGAC
RNAcentral lists this long non-coding RNA (1474 nucleotides) under Homo sapiens (human). Its description in RNAcentral is "ZNF790 antisense RNA 1". Lineage: Eukaryota; Metazoa; Chordata; Mammalia; Primates; Hominidae. The record is from RNAcentral.